GCUUAGCCCUAAACCUGAAUAAUUUCAUAACAAAAUUACUCGCCAGGAAACUACAAGCCAGAGCUUAAAACUCAAAGGACUUGGCGGUGCUUUAUACCCGCCUAGAGGAGCCUGUUCUAUAAUCGAUAAACCCCGAUAAACCUUACCACUCUUUGCCAACUCAGCCUAUAUACCGCCAUCUUCAGCGAACCCUAAAAAGGAACAAAAGUAAGCUCAACUACCCCCAUAAAAACGUUAGGUCAAGGUGUAGCCUAUAGAGUGGAAAGUAAUGGGCUACAUUUUCUUCUUCAGAACAUACGAAAGCCCUUAUGAAAUUCUAAGGGCCAAAGGAGGAUUUAGUAGUAAAUUAAGAAUAGAGUGCUUAAUUGAACCAGGCCAUGAAGCACGC
RNAcentral lists this ribosomal RNA (388 nucleotides) under Sylvilagus audubonii (desert cottontail). RNAcentral's name for it is "partial 12S ribosomal RNA". It matches the Rfam family "Bacterial small subunit ribosomal RNA", at positions 794 to 1384 of the family's 1533-position model. Lineage: Eukaryota; Metazoa; Chordata; Mammalia; Lagomorpha; Leporidae. The record is from RNAcentral.